This 244-nucleotide long non-coding RNA is filed under the name Lathyrus oleraceus (garden pea). Its description in RNAcentral is "Pisum sativum (pea) long non-coding RNA (PSAT_LNC018299)". Lineage: Eukaryota; Viridiplantae; Streptophyta; Magnoliopsida; Fabales; Fabaceae. The record is from RNAcentral.
UGAAGGAGGAAGCAAAUAACCUUUGAGUCUUAAAACAAAUCGAAUAGCAAUGCAGAAAAAUUCCUUGUAGAAAAGAGUGAUUUUAUUUUCAAGGUGAUAAAGUGUAGUUAUGAUGGAGAUUGAUGAGUGAUUAAGCCAAGGAGUAAAAAGUAAUGAAUAAGAUAUUAAAGUGAAAUAAAGAGCUACUUACAAGACCUAGUAAAUAUGCAUUUACUUGGAAAUAUGAUGACUUGUAGUAGUAACC